UCCCUGGUGGCUCAGAUGGUAAAGCGUCUGUCUACAAUGCAGGAGACCCAGGUUUUAUCCCUGGGUUGGGAA
This is a non-coding RNA of Bos taurus (domestic cattle), 72 nucleotides long. NCBI's taxonomy places the organism in Eukaryota, Metazoa, Chordata, Mammalia, Artiodactyla, Bovidae. The record is from Rfam.